CCCAGAUCCACAGAAGUGACAAUGCUGAAUCCUUACCUGCUAGGCCACCAGGGAACAUAUAUAAUUUUAGCCAUUUCUCCCUACCACUCUCAGAACAAUAAAGGAACAGAAGAAGGAGGGAAAGGAAGAGGAGGACAGAGAAGAAAAUCAUCCCACUGCUGUGAGAAACCACCAUCGUCCUUCCAUGUCCAGCCUCUGUAAUUGUCAGACAUAGAUGAGUUCAGUCACAAAGGCAAAUCGACUGGUUCCUUUGGCACAGGGAACCCUUUGGGAGGCCAUGUGACAGUAUAAGUGUCUAAUAAGAUUUGGAUAUCUACUGCCUGGACAGACUUCAGUAAUCAUAAGGAAG
This 349-nucleotide long non-coding RNA is filed under the name Sus scrofa (pig). RNAcentral's name for it is "lncRNA (ENSSSCG00070022797.1)". Lineage: Eukaryota; Metazoa; Chordata; Mammalia; Artiodactyla; Suidae. The record is from RNAcentral.